This is an RNA transcript of Carlito syrichta (Philippine tarsier), 709 nucleotides long. It is a transcript of the gene named NADH:ubiquinone oxidoreductase subunit B6, with no coding region annotated. NCBI's taxonomy places the organism in Eukaryota, Metazoa, Chordata, Mammalia, Primates, Tarsiidae. The record is from RefSeq and is a predicted model, not a curated record. The transcript has 4 exons.
AGCCGUGCGCCGGUCCCAGGCGUCCUCGCAAGGUCGCUUUGCAAAACGGGAGCGCGCUUAAGUGACCAGCCCUGAGUUUGUGGGCGCGCCGGGUCCUUCUGCUUUGGGACCAGCGGCGACAUGUCGGGGUACACGCCAGAUGAGAAACUGCGGCUGCAGCAGCUGCGAGAGCUGAGAAGGCGAUGGCUGAAGGACCAGGAGCUGAGCCCUCGGGAGCCGGUGCUGCCCCCUCAGAGGAUGUGGCCUAUGGAGAAAUUCUGGAAUAAAUUCUUGCAAAAUCCGAGCCCUUGGAGGAACAUGGUGAAUGUAUAAGGUAUACCGAAGCAGUAUUUUUGCUUUUACUCAUAUGCUUAUACCUGUCUGGAUUAUUCAUUAUUAUAUCAAGUAUCAUGUGAAUACAAAACCAUAUGCCAUCGUUGAAAGGAAGCCCAGAGUAUUUCCAGGUGAUACAAUUCUGGAGACUGGAGAAGUAAUUCCACCAAUGAAGGAAUUUCCUGAUCAACAUCAUUGAAGAUUACAUAAAAAUUUCAAAGGCUUAUGAGCCCAAGUUUGUUCCUGCAUUACUGUAUUUACUGAAUGCAUUUUCUGGAAAAGUAACUUUAAUAAAGUUUACUCUCAGAAAUGUGUCACUUUUCUUCCCAAACAUUGUACAAUUUGAGGCUCUUUGAAUAACUUAACAAUAAAUAAAAACUGAAUAUGCUAAACAAAU